UACGGAGGGUGCGAACGUUAAUCGGAAUCACUGGGCGUAAAGCGCGCGUAGGCGGCCUCAUAAGUCCGUUGUGAAAGUCAAAGGCUCAACCUUUGAAAGCCGAUGGAUACUGUGAGGCUAGAGUCCGGAAGAGGCGAGUGGAAUUCCUGGUGUAGCGGUGGAAUGCGCAGAUAUCAGGAGGAACACCGGUGGCGAAGGCGGGUCUCUGGGCCGAUACUGACGCUGAGGAGCGAAAGCGUGGGGAGCGAACAGG
This 253-nucleotide ribosomal RNA is filed under the name uncultured bacterium. RNAcentral's name for it is "partial 16S ribosomal RNA". It matches the Rfam family "Bacterial small subunit ribosomal RNA", at positions 524 to 776 of the family's 1533-position model. The record is from RNAcentral.